AGGGUUUGAUCAUGGCUCAGGAUGAACGCUGGCGGCGUGCUUAACACAUGCAAGUCGAACGAACCUUCGGGUUAGUGGCGGACGGGUGAGUAACGCGUGAGAAUCUGCCCUCAGGAGGGGGAUAACGGUUGGAAACGACCGCUAAUACCCCAUAUGCCUACUGGUGAAAUGAAUUUCGCCUGAGGAUGAGCUCGCGUCUGAUUAGCUAGUUGGUGAGGUAAUGGCUCACCAAGGCUUCGAUCAGUAGCUGGUCUGAGAGGAUGAUCAGCCACACUGGGACUGAGACACGGCCCAGACUCCUACGGGAGGCAGCAGUGGGGAAUUUUCCGCAAUGGGCGAAAGCCUGACGGAGCAACGCCGCGUGAGGGACGAAGGCCUCUGGGCUGUAAACCUCUUUUCUCAAGGAAGAAGAUAUGACGGUACUUGAGGAAUAAGCCACGGCUAAUUCCGUGCCAGCAGCCGCGGUAAUACGGGAGUGGCAAGCGUUAUCCGGAAUUAUUGGGCGUAAAGCGUCCGCAGGCGGCUUUUCAAGUCUGCUGUUAAAGCGUGGAGCUUAACUCCAUCAUGGCAGUGGAAACUGAAAGGCUUGAGUAUGGUAGGGGCAGAGGGAAUUCCCGGUGUAGCGGUGAAAUGCGUAGAUAUCGGGAAGAACACCAGUGGCGAAGGCGCUCUGCUGGGCCAUUACUGACGCUCAUGGACGAAAGCCAGGGGAGCGAAAGGGAUUAGAUACCCCUGUAGUCCUGGCCGUAAACGAUGAACA
RNAcentral lists this ribosomal RNA (760 nucleotides) under uncultured bacterium. RNAcentral's name for it is "bacterial SSU rRNA". It matches the Rfam family "Bacterial small subunit ribosomal RNA", at positions 8 to 815 of the family's 1533-position model. The record is from RNAcentral.